CUGUUCAAAAAAAAUUUGGGAAAAAAGUGGAGCUGCCUAAAUUGUAAAUUGGGGCUACUUGUCAGAACCUUGAGGACUGAAAAGUACAUCUUGAAUUAAAAUAUGGUCUUGUGCCUGUGAAUCAGUAAAGGAUGUUUAUAGAUGUGAAAUGUUCUAAUGUUGUCUGGAAACAGCUGCUAAUCUUGGAUGAGUAUCAGGUUGUUUCCUGGCCUCCCUUCUGUGACCUUUGACCAAGGCCAACCUUUAGCUGGAGAAUGUGACAUUUUGUUCUCCUCUGGCUGACAUGUGAUGCUCUCAUUAUUCAAAGGCUCUUGAAAGAGUAGAAAGGGGGCAGCUCAUGAAAGGGAGAGGGAACUGAUAACAUAACAUUUCUAAGAAGACCAUGAAUACAAAGUUUGGGCUUAGCAUGCAGUUAGGGUAGGUUAAAAGAAAGUCAUAAAAAAAUAAAAAAAAUACAUUUUGUUCUUUUUGUGUAAGUGAUACCAUUCACUGGAGAUUUUUUUUUCUGAAGAAAGGGAAAG
RNAcentral lists this long non-coding RNA (521 nucleotides) under Pongo abelii (Sumatran orangutan). RNAcentral's name for it is "lincRNA". Lineage: Eukaryota; Metazoa; Chordata; Mammalia; Primates; Hominidae. The record is from RNAcentral.